RNAcentral lists this ribosomal RNA (292 nucleotides) under uncultured bacterium. RNAcentral's name for it is "partial 16S ribosomal RNA". It matches the Rfam family "Bacterial small subunit ribosomal RNA", at positions 29 to 334 of the family's 1533-position model. The record is from RNAcentral.
AACGAACGCUGGCGGCAGGCUUAACACAUGCAAGUCGAGCGCUCACUUCGGUGGGAGCGGCAGACGGGUGAGUAACGCGUGGGAAUCUACCCAACUCUACGGAAUAACUCAGGGAAACUUGUGCUAAUACCGUAUAUGCCUUUAAGUCUUAAGACUGCAAGGGAAAUAUUUAUAGCUCUAGGAUCGGCCUGUACGGUGUCAGUUUGUUGGUGAGGUAAUGGCUCACCAAGACUAUGACGCCUAACUGGUUUGAGAGGAUGAUCAGUCACACUGGAACUGAGACACGGUCCAG